UCCGUAGGUGGCAAGCGUUGUCCGGAAUUAUUGGGCGUAAAGCGCGCGCAGGCGGUCCUUUAAGUCUGAUGUGAAAGCCCACGGCUCAACCGUGGAAGGUCAUUGGAAACUGGAGGACUUGAGUACAGAAGAGGAAAGCGGAAUUCCACGUGUAGCGGUGAAAUGCGUAGAGAUGUGGAGGAACACCAGUGGCGAAGGCGGCUUUCUGGUCUGUAACUGACGCUGAGGCGCGAAAGCGUGGGGAGCAAACAGG
RNAcentral lists this ribosomal RNA (253 nucleotides) under uncultured bacterium. RNAcentral's name for it is "partial 16S ribosomal RNA". It matches the Rfam family "Bacterial small subunit ribosomal RNA", at positions 524 to 776 of the family's 1533-position model. The record is from RNAcentral.